RNAcentral lists this ribosomal RNA (2784 nucleotides) under Triticum aestivum (bread wheat). RNAcentral describes it as "partial small subunit ribosomal RNA". The record is from RNAcentral. Lineage: Eukaryota; Viridiplantae; Streptophyta; Magnoliopsida; Poales; Poaceae.
AUGUCGGCCAUCGCCGGCGAGCCCCACCGCGUAGUCCUCCUCGUCGAUCUCAACCCCCUCAUCCCCUCCCAAAACCCUAGCGCUCCCACUGCCCANNNNNNNNNNNNNNNNNNNNNNNNNNNNNNNNNNNNNNNNNNNNNNNNNNNNNNNNNNNNNNNNNNNNNNNNNNNNNNNNNNNNNNNNNNNNGCCUCUUCUUCUCCUCCCUCUCCCCGAUCCUCUCCUCCUCCCUCCUCCCCAAGCACCUCCCCUCCGCCCCGACACCGCUUUCCUUCCACCUCCCCCCGGCCACCCUCGCCUCCCUCGCCCCGCUCCGCCGCCUCGCCCUCCCGGCCUCGCCGCACCCCCGCGUCACUGCCUCCUCCUCCAUCGCCAAGUCGCUCCUCCAGCUCGAGCACGACUACUCCUGGGACGCCGAGUCCCAACACGGCCGCCGCCGCCGCGUCUUCGACCGGCCGCCCAAUCUGGCGGUUCUCUUCACGGCCGUCUAUGAUUUCGAGGAAUUCGGGGAGAACGCGAGCUCUGAGAAGAGGUUUCGGGGGGUUUUCGAGCCAGUGAGGGACCGGCUUCAAUCCAGGGGCAUACAGGUGUGCUGGGUUGCCGUUGGUUCCACCAGCGAGGGGAUCCGGAGGGCGGUGACAGACCUAGGGUGGAGGUUUACGACAGCAGAUGCAGUCACGUUGGGGUCGGCGGUUGCGCCGCCAGGGCUCGUCUGGGGAGGUGUUGGAUUUGGGUGUGGGGGAGGUGAACGGCGAGGUGAGGUAGUGUUGGAGAUUGCCGAUGUGAAAGGGAAGCCACUGGUUUGCAAGGGCUGCGAGGUUGAGAUUGUUGGCUCCACGCUGUCGCAGGUUGGUAGCCAUGGUGUGUCCAGGAUACAUGUGAAGGCGGUGUGUGAGGUGGGGAAUUGCGAGCAGUUGAUUGGCAGAGAUGGCGAGGUUGUUCUGGUACGUGGGUUGCCACAGGAUAGGAGCAAGGGUGACGGUGAAGGAGCUGUGGACAGGGAGUUUUUCCCACAUCGGCUUCUCGAGUUGGUUCUUGCCGAUGAGAGCAAUUGCCUUCACGCUGGAAUGCCUAUUUGGCAGCUCAUUCUGGUUUUCCUUCAUAGGAAAAACUAUUGUGCAAUGGUUUCGAUUUCUGAUGGAGACGAGAAGUCUGUAGAUGGCCUUCUCGUACCUUUCUCGAUGAACUAUGCAUUACUGCAUGUCGACAGGAAUGGCACUGGUUUAGAACAGGUGGUUGCGAAGAGUCCUGAAACAUUGGAUAGUUCCAUGCCCGAUCCACCAAAGGAGCUUAGUGUGAGGAAGAAGAGAAUCAGGCUGGUCAGUAAGCUACUUGUGGCAGCCAGUUGGAGCACCUUCUGUGAUGUGCUCCUCAAACAUGCUGAUGGCAGCAUGCCAGUGGUGGAGUUGGAAGACCUGUAUUUCAGCAGGUAUGGCACUGCAUCCAAAAAGUUGCGGUUUCUGAAAUGUUGGCUGAAACAAGUGAAAUUGUCAUCUCUUGGUACUUCAUCAAGCCUUCAUAUAGGCGAGACACGUCCUUCCUCAAAGGAUGAAGGAGAAGCAAAACUUCAUGUCUCAGAGGAGGAUGGGGCUCCUCAUGUCAACUGUUCGGUGGAUGAAGCAGAUUGUAACAAAAUUGGCAAACCAGUGGAUGAAGCAGAUUGCAACAAAGUGGAGCAACAAGUGGACGAGGAGACUUCAGCAUUCUCUUCAAUGGAAGAUUUAGAAGCAUUUCUUGGGAGUAUCCCUCAGAAGAUUGAGCAAGGUCUUUGUUCUGAAGAUGCUGAUUUGGGAAAUCUAGCUGAACGCUUGGUUGGCUUGUCUGUUGAUGCGCUGAUGAUUAAGAAUGGAAAGAUUACAGUGAGAUAUUUUGAACAUAGGGAAGUAGAUGAUGCUUCUGAUGCGAAAAUUAUCUCCGAAGCUUCCAUUAUUCUGUUGAGGAAACCCAAAGAGCUUCUGUUGAAGUACAAAGACAACAAUUCAGCAUCUGCUGGAUCAGAACAAACCUCAAAAUACAACGCAAAUUACAAAAUCCGAGAGCAUGAACUGCAGAUAUUACUUAGGUUGGAAAUAAUCAGAUCCAAACUUGGCCCAGACUUUGAGGAAGGUUCAAAACAGAAGAUGAUAAAAGAGAUCUGUUCUCUUUUGCAGUUUAUUGAUAUAAACCUCCAAGGGGAUUCAUUUCAGUCUGACAGUAUUGUUAAGUUUGCUGAGAAGACCAUCAAGUCCAGGUACAUGGACUCUAUGGAGGAUGUGAUCAAGAAGAUAUACACGGAGAUGGAGUUUGAUCUGUUCGACGAAGAUGACUUGCCAUGUUCAGACUCUCUACCCAGCAGCAGCAACCAGGACGACGGCAAGGGCAACAAGAGCCGGAGCAGCCAGAGGAACUGCGCCGGCAGCUCAAGCGCUCCCACACUUCACACGAGGAGCAGACACCACGACAGGCACGAGGAGCAGCUGGCGCGAGUGAGUGAGCGGCGGAACAGGGAGCGCAGGCUCUCCUCCUUCACCAGCUGGGUGCCGGACCUGCGCCGCGUGUGGGCGCUCAAGCACCCCGGUAAGGAGCCUCCCCUGGCGGUUGCGGUGCCUCGGUCCAGGCAGCAUUCAAAGCGGAGGAAGCGGCGCGCGGCGUGCACCGACAUGGUCUGCGAGACGCCCAUGACGGCCGCAAAGAAGCAGCAGCCGGAGCAGGACGGGUCGGGGUCUGACAAGAUGAUGUCGAUUGGGUCCGUGUCAAAGACCUUGUUCGACGACGACACGGAGGUGAGCAGUUCCAGCAGCGUGUGA